RNAcentral lists this transfer RNA (90 nucleotides) under Rhodospirillales bacterium. RNAcentral's name for it is "tRNA-Ser". It matches the Rfam family "tRNA". Rfam says of the family: Transfer RNA (tRNA) molecules are approximately 80 nucleotides in length. The record is from RNAcentral. Lineage: Bacteria; Pseudomonadati; Pseudomonadota; Alphaproteobacteria; Rhodospirillales.
GGAUGGGUGGCCGAGCGGCUUAAGGCGCACGCUUGGAAAGCGUGUGUGCGUGCGAGCGUACCGUGGGUUCGAAUCCCACCCCAUCCGCCA